Molecule: ribosomal RNA, 292 nt
Filed under: uncultured bacterium
Lineage: Bacteria
Description: partial 16S ribosomal RNA
Source: RNAcentral
GGACUACUGGGGUUUCUAAUCCUGUUUGCUCCCCACGCUUUCGUGCCUGAGCGUCAGUGUUAGCCCAGGGGGCUGCCUUCGCCAUCGGUGUUCCUCCACAUCUCUACGCAUUUCACUGCUACACGUGGAAUUCCACCCCCCUCUGCCACACUCGAGCUCGCUAGUUUCCAAUGCAGUUCCCAGGUUGAGCCCGGGGCUUUCACAUCAGACUUUACGAACCGCCUACGCACGCUUUACGCCCAGUAAUUCCGAUUAACGCUCGCACCCUACGUAUUACCGCGGCUGCUGGCAC